RNAcentral lists this long non-coding RNA (1303 nucleotides) under Homo sapiens (human). RNAcentral describes it as "HSALNT0321500". The record is from RNAcentral. Lineage: Eukaryota; Metazoa; Chordata; Mammalia; Primates; Hominidae.
AAUUCCUGCCACAUUUCUUAUACUCUUUUCCCUUCUUAUUUCCCAGAGCUUCUUGCUAAUGAGAAAUCUGGUUAGCUGUUUAAUAUGUAUAUGCUGUGUUUUGUAAGUUUAGGAAUAAUAAUAUAUCAAGAAAAAGGGCAACAAAAUUCUAAAAAUUUAAACAUAUACAGUACCUAUAAAUCAAAAUGUAGAAAAAGGCAAUUUACAUCUCUGAAACAACAAAGGAGAAAAUAUUUAAAAAUACUUUCUAAACAUUUAAAGUGUACUUAGGUCCCAGAGAAAAGGCAUGCAAUGAGGAUCUUUGCAGUUGUAGAAGAAAAAUUAGGCAAUAGCUUUCCAUGUGUUCAUAUGUAUCAUUGCAAUUAAUAUUACAAUAUUGAAAAUUUGAGGGUCAAUAUGAAAGCCAGAUAAAAAUGGCAGAUUUUUAUAAGCCAGUCACAUGAAUAAAUGAUUGUCCUGCAAAAAAAAAAAAUUAAGGUUGAGCAUAAAGAGAAUAGGAAAGAAAAAGUGGGGAGGGAGGUGUUAUAAGCUAGCUCUUGAUUAAUUAGCAAUCAGAGUGGAACAACAAAUAUGAAGGCCUGAUCAAUCCGGCAUGUUCAUUAAUAAAUGUCUGAGUGGAUUGCAGGUACAGAGGUUGUUACAGUAGGAGGUGUACAUCAUUAUACUAAGCAUGUUUCAGAUACCACAAGGAGCCCUGCUGAAGAGAAGUUUACAAAAUAGGUGUGAUAAUGUUUCAUAUAUAUAUCAAAUAUUAAAUAAGAUAACUUAUGAGCUAUUACAAAGCAAUAUAUGAUUUUACAAAAAGAGGUAUGUAAGUGCAAUGAGUUCCAUGGACAAAGAAAGUUGAUGACAGGGGAGAAAGAUGAGUUGUAUUCCUAUUCAUUUGAAAAAUUUAAUAAUUUUUAGGUCGACCCUUUUGUACUUUCCUAAUUAUCUUUCAGCAAAUAACCUUGAUUAGUUUGGUACUUCACAUCGUUUUACAGUUAUCUCAGUGUCCUUCCAAGUCAUAUGUGGUCUAUUGAGAGUUCUAUUGUUCUUUAUUUCUAUUUAAAAUUACAGGACAGAAAGCUUGAUUCAAUGCUAGCAAACACCUAUUUAUUUCCUAAUCCUUACCUUUUUUGUUUCAUUAGUUUCUCCUCUAAUUAUCUCCCAGAAUUUUCUUACAAAAUGAUGCCACUUAGGAAUGAAGACUUGGCAUUCCUUACUGGUGCAGAAAAGUUAACUGAUUAUUUAAUCAGUAAUUAAUUAAAAUUAUAUAAUUUUGAAAAUUAAAGAAAUAACCUAUCAGAGUCAUAUUCUUUUU